UGGGGAAUAUUGGACAAUGGGGGCAACCCUGAUCCAGCAAUGCCGCGUGUGUGAAGAAGGCCUUCGGAUUGUAAAGCACUUUCGACGGGGACGAUGAUGACGGUACCCGUAUAAGAAGCCCCGGCUAACUUCGUGCCAGCAGCCGCGGUAAUACGAAGGGGGCUAGCGUUGCUCGGAAUGACUGGGCGUAAAGGGCGCGUAGGCGGCAUACACAGUCAGAUGUGAAAUUCCUGGGCUUAACCUGGGGGCUGCAUUUGAUACGUGUAGGCUAGAGUGGGGAAGAGGGUUGUGGAAUUCCCAGUGUAGAGGUGAAAUUCGUAGAUAUUGGGAAGAACACCGGUGGCGAAGGCGGCAACCUGGUCCUUGACUGACGCUGAGGUGCGAAAGCGUGGGGAGCAAACA
RNAcentral lists this ribosomal RNA (402 nucleotides) under uncultured bacterium. RNAcentral describes it as "bacterial SSU rRNA". It matches the Rfam family "Bacterial small subunit ribosomal RNA", at positions 355 to 774 of the family's 1533-position model. The record is from RNAcentral.